ACCACUAGACCACAAAUGCUUGGG
RNAcentral lists this non-coding RNA (24 nucleotides) under Arabidopsis thaliana (thale cress). The record is from RNAcentral. Lineage: Eukaryota; Viridiplantae; Streptophyta; Magnoliopsida; Brassicales; Brassicaceae.